GGAUCGGCCGUUUUUCACACGUGAUUUUAAAAAUACGUAUCAUGAAUUAUGGAAUAUACUUAAAAUUUACUCCCAUUCCGGAAGGGUUGAGGUGAUUGUAGGGGUAGUUUUACAGACAUGUCGUUAGUUCCAGUAUUCACUUCUCACAGUUCAGUCAUGCAAGCAUAGUGUUCUCUAUAGAUCUUGGGAAGUUCGCAUGAACUGGCACCAGAUUGUCUUGAUAUCUAGGCACAGGAAAGAAAACAAAAGAAUAAGCUUUUUUCCCUUCAUUACUACUAAUUCCGACAGGAAAUUUGAAUGUAAUACCUUGAGAAAUUUCUAUUUUGGGAAUGACUGCGUAAGUACAUUAUUUUUCUUUUGGGAUGUUUUACAUUGUUUUGCAGAUGAUUGCACUCGUUUCGUAAGUUUUUCUUUUAUUCGAUAGGUAUUAUUUACUCGAUAAUCUAUCUCAUUUUAUAAAAAUAUCACUGAAAAAUCGAUUUUAAAGAUUGUCUUAUCGAAAAUUGUAGUUACUCUGUCUCAAUUUGCAUAUUUUCGUGAUUAAUAUAACUCAGCUUCAU
This 560-nucleotide long non-coding RNA is filed under the name Androctonus crassicauda. The record is from RNAcentral. Lineage: Eukaryota; Metazoa; Arthropoda; Arachnida; Scorpiones; Buthidae.